This 498-nucleotide ribosomal RNA is filed under the name uncultured bacterium. RNAcentral describes it as "partial 16S ribosomal RNA". It matches the Rfam family "Bacterial small subunit ribosomal RNA", at positions 28 to 523 of the family's 1533-position model. The record is from RNAcentral.
GAUGAACGCUAGCGGCAGGCCUAAUACAUGCAAGUCGAACGAUAGAAGAGGGCUUGCUCUCUUCGAAAGUGGCGCACGGGUGCGUAACGCGUAUGCAACCUACCUUAAUCAGGGGGAUAGCCCGAAGAAAUUCGGAUUAACACCGCAUAAAAUCACAGUACAGCAUUGUACAAUGAUCAAAUAUUUAUAGGAUUAAGAUGGGCAUGCGUGACAUUAGCUAGGUGGCGGGGUAACGGCCCACCAAGGCGACGAUGUCUAGGGGAUCUGAGAGGAUGACCCCCCACCCUGGUACUGAGACACGGACCAGACUCCUACGGGAGGCAGCAGUAAGGAAUAUUGGUCAAUGGAGGCAACUCUGAACCAGCCAUGCCGCGUGCAGGAAGACGGCCCUCUGGGUUGUAAACUGCUUUUAUUCGGGAAUAAACCUCAUUACGUGUAAUGAGCUGAAUGUACCGAAGGAAUAAGGAUCGGCUAACUCCGUGCCAGCAGCCGCCGUAA